RNAcentral lists this ribosomal RNA (253 nucleotides) under uncultured bacterium. Its description in RNAcentral is "partial 16S ribosomal RNA". It matches the Rfam family "Bacterial small subunit ribosomal RNA", at positions 524 to 776 of the family's 1533-position model. The record is from RNAcentral.
UACGGAGGGUGCAAGCGUUAUCCGGAUUCACUGGGUUUAAAGGGUGCGUAGGAGGGCAGGUAAGUCAGUGGUGAAAUCUCCAAGCUUAACUUGGAAACUGCCGUUGAUACUAUCAGUCUUGAAUAUUGUGGAGGUGAGCGGAAUAUGUCAUGUAGCGGUGAAAUGCUUAGAUAUGACAUAGAACACCAAUUGCGAAGGCAGCUCACUACUCAAUCAUUGACUCUGAGGCACGAAAGCGUGGGGAGCAAACAGG